GCUAGCCCUAACCUAGAUAGUUAGCCCAAACAAAACUAUCCGCCAGAGAACUCUAGCAACAGCUUAAAACUCAAAGGACUUGGCGGUGCUUUAUAUCCCUCUAGAGGAGCCUGUUCUAUAAUCGAUAAACCCCGAUAAACCUCACCAUCUCUUGUUAAUUCAGCCUAUAUACCGCCAUCUUCAGCAAACCCUAAAAAGGAAGAAAAGUAAGCACAAGUGUCUUAACACAAAAAAGUUAGGUCAAGGUGUAGCCUAUGAGAUGGGAAGCAAUGGGCUACAUUUUCUACAACUAGAACAUCCACGAAAAUCCUUAUGAAAUUAAGUAUUCAAGGAGGAUUUAGUAGUAAAUUUGAGAAUAGAGAGCUCAAUUGAAUCGGGCCAUGAAGCACGCACACACCGCCCGUCACCCUUGGGAAGGUCAA
Molecule: ribosomal RNA, 422 nt
Filed under: Panthera onca (jaguar)
Lineage: Eukaryota; Metazoa; Chordata; Mammalia; Carnivora; Felidae
Description: partial 12S ribosomal RNA
Rfam family: Bacterial small subunit ribosomal RNA
Source: RNAcentral